CACUGCAAUAUAGUCAAAAUGCCAAGUAGAAAUCUGAAUAAGAAAUAAUACGUUGAAAGGCAGGACCCCAAUAAAUGAAAUACCCAGCAAUAAGAAGUACAGAAACUGCAUUUGUUCACAGCAAUAAGAAAGCGUUUUUUUUUAGAACCAUGGUGAACGUAUCCUCAGUUAACCAGAAUUGCCUUAGCCUCCUUGCGCAAGUGCAGACGGUACGACAGCAGGUGGGAAACUGAAGAAUUCUUACAGUAAAUCGCGAAGGUCAAAAACGUUUUACAAUAAUGCCGACGUGUUCUGCACGUAGGUAAGCGUGCACAGCAACGAAAAAAAAAAAAAGGAAACUUCACCUAUAGCACAGCUCCCAUGAUUUUUUUAACAAAGGGGAUAUUUAAAGCGAACAGGUUUUUCUGUAAGCUGGCAACUUCAUCUGAGAGAACGUUGCCGCGUCUACGACUAUGCGAAUGAUUUUUGUGGUGAACCUGGCCGUUUUCGCCGCGGUGGCAUUCUGCAUACCAAGUUGUGAGAGACCGAAAUGCCACUACCCUAAUGAUUGUUGGCAGCAGGCUGAGAGAGGACCAUGCCGAGCUGCGAUUGAAAUGUUCGUCUUCAACACGACCACAAGGCGGUGCGACCGUUUUAUAUGGGGAGGUUGCUGCGAGAACUGCAAUCUCUUCAAGACGAGAUAUCGAUGUAAAAAGAGCUGCUUGUGGUCCCGGCCAAGGGUGUCAACCUCGAAUUUGCUUCCAGGAAACCACAUUAACAGAUUACUACCAUAAUGUGAAGGAGGGGCCACACAAUCUGGGCUUUCAUUAGGCCGAAUUUUUAACACUCAGACAAUGUAUUCGGCAUUUCCUCAUAGCAAUCGGCAAGCAGGAACAUAAAUAGUAAACACGGCACGUAUCUUAAAAGGUCAAUUUUAUUCUUUAUUGGCUUUUGUUAGUUUCACAAUUCUUCGUUUAUUCACCGUAGAAUAUUUUAACAUAGCGUGUCUUCAAAUUUUUGCACAACCAAUAAAAGGUCUGCAAAAAACACCUAUUUUCACGUAAUUAUAUCUGUCUUUAUAUUUGAAGUGCAAAUAAAUCCUGAUAAAAGC
Long non-coding RNA from Dermacentor andersoni, 1090 nucleotides. RefSeq lists it as uncharacterized. The record is from RefSeq and is a predicted model, not a curated record. Lineage: Eukaryota; Metazoa; Arthropoda; Arachnida; Ixodida; Ixodidae.